Molecule: long non-coding RNA, 257 nt
Organism: Rhodamnia argentea
Lineage: Eukaryota; Viridiplantae; Streptophyta; Magnoliopsida; Myrtales; Myrtaceae
Exons: 2
Source: RefSeq, a predicted model, not a curated record
UUGCCAAGAAAAAAUCAACUUGAUUUCAGUCCGCUGUUCCCUGAAUAUACCACGAUAGUAUCUAUCAUCAUGAACUUGUACAUAGCGGUUCUCAGUCAGUAACUCAGACUGCUAUGCACCAACCAUAAGAGGAUGAUUAUUCCUUUUGUAUUUGUCUGGCGACUAUAUAUUCACCCCUUUCGCACUUUGUCCUCUCAAUUGGUUUGAAACAUUUAGGGGAAAAUUUAAUGCUUCAGCAUUUUACUUCUUGGACUGAA